GAUGAACGCUGGCGGCGUGCCUAAUACAUGCAAGUCGAGCGAACCACUUCGGUGGUGAGCGGCGAACGGGUGAGUAACACGUAGGUGAUCUGCCCAUCAGACGGGGACAACGAUUGGAAACGAUCGCUAAUACCGGAUAGGACGAAAGUUUAAAGGUGCUUCUGGCACCGCUGAUGGAUGAGCCUGCGGCGCAUUAGCUAGUUGGUAGGGUAAAGGCCUACCAAGGCGACGAUGCGUAGCCGACCUGAGAGGGUGAACGGCCACACUGGGACUGAGACACGGCCCAGACUCCUACGGGAGGCAGCAGUAGGGAAUCUUCGGCAAGUGGGCGAAAGCCUGACCGAGCAACGCCGCGUGAAUGAUGAAGGCC
RNAcentral lists this ribosomal RNA (370 nucleotides) under uncultured bacterium. Its description in RNAcentral is "bacterial SSU rRNA". It matches the Rfam family "Bacterial small subunit ribosomal RNA", at positions 28 to 416 of the family's 1533-position model. The record is from RNAcentral.